AGCAUGCUAGUUGUACGAGUUUAGACUCGUAGCAGAUAGCUCAGUAACACGUGGCCAAACUACCCUAUGGAUCCGGACAACCUCGGGAAACUGAGGCUAAUCCGGAAUACGACUCUCAGCCUGGAAGUGGCGAGAGUCAGAAACGCUCCGGCGCCAUAGGAUGUGGCUGCGGCCGAUUAGGUAGACGGUGGGGUAACGGCCCACCGUGCCUAUAAUCGGUACGGGUUGUGAGAGCAAGAACCCGGAGACGGUAUCUGAGACAAGAUACCGGGCCCUACGGGGCGCAGCAGGCGCGAAACCUUUACACUGCACGAAAGUGCGAUAAGGGGACUCCAAGUGCGAGGGCAUAUAGUCCUCGCUUUUCACCACCGUAAGGAGGUGGUAGAAUAAGUGCUGGGCAAGACCGGUGCCAGCCGCCGCGGUAAUACCGGCAGCACGAGUGAUGACCGCUCUUAUUGGGCCUAAAGCGUCCGUAGCUGGCCACGCAAGUCUAUCGGGAAAUCCGCGCGCUCAACGCGCGGGCGUCCGGUGGAAACUGUGUGGCUUGGGACCGGAAGAUCCAGAGGGUACGUCUGGGGUAGGAGUGAAAUCCCGUAAUCCUGGACGGACCACCGGUGGCGAAAGCGCUCUGGAAAGACGGAUCCGACGGUGAGGGACGAAAGCUCGGGUCACGAACCGGAUUAGAUACCCGGGUAGUCCGAGCUGUAAACGAUGUCUGCUAGGUGUGCCACAGGCUACGAGCCUGUGGUGUGCCGUAGGGAAGCCGUGAAGCAGACCGCCUGGGAAGUACGUCCGCAAGGAUGAAACUUAA
Molecule: ribosomal RNA, 811 nt
Filed under: uncultured euryarchaeote
Lineage: Archaea; Methanobacteriati; Methanobacteriota
Description: bacterial SSU rRNA
Rfam family: Archaeal small subunit ribosomal RNA
Source: RNAcentral